RNAcentral lists this ribosomal RNA (254 nucleotides) under uncultured bacterium. Its description in RNAcentral is "partial 16S ribosomal RNA". It matches the Rfam family "Bacterial small subunit ribosomal RNA", at positions 524 to 776 of the family's 1533-position model. The record is from RNAcentral.
UACGUAGGGUGCAAGCGUUGUCCGGAUUCAUUGGGCGUAAAGAGCUCGUAGGCGGCUUGGCAAGUCGGGUGUGAAACCUCCAGGCUCAACCUGGAGACGCCACCCGAUACUGCUAUGGCUAGAGUCCGGUAGGGGACCACGGAAUUCCUGGUGUAGCGGUGAAAUGCGCAGAUAUCAGGAGGAACACCGGUGGCGAAGGCGGUGGUCUGGGCCGGCACUGACGCUGAGGAGCGAAAGCGUGGGGAGCGAACAGG